This 217-nucleotide unclassified non-coding RNA is filed under the name Hevea brasiliensis (rubber tree). Lineage: Eukaryota; Viridiplantae; Streptophyta; Magnoliopsida; Malpighiales; Euphorbiaceae. The record is from RNAcentral.
GAUCUUUGCCCUUUGACGGAGUUCUCUUCCUCCCCAUUAGGAGCCCAAGAGCUUCUCUGCUCAAGGUAUGGGUUUUUGAAUUUUAAUUUAAGUAGUGGUCUGAGGUCACUGGAGACAUUGGGGGCCAACUUCGAUUGUGAAGUCUCAUGGAUCUCACUUUGUAAAUUUCCAGAUGUAAAUUUAAGUUGUUUCUUUAGUAGAGGCUCCUCAUUUCUUU